Long non-coding RNA from Caretta caretta (loggerhead turtle), 1230 nucleotides. RefSeq lists it as uncharacterized. The record is from RefSeq and is a predicted model, not a curated record. NCBI's taxonomy places the organism in Eukaryota, Metazoa, Chordata, Testudines, Cheloniidae.
GGGGAAGGGCGGCUCGGCUCCCCGAGCCGGGCUCCGCCCCCUGCGUGCCGCGCGCUCACAGCUUGCGUGCAGCCGGGCCGGGCGAAGGCGGCGCUGGAGCUCCCGGAGUGACGUGGGCGCGCCUCGCCCGCGCGGGGAGCUCGGCAAGCGGCCCCUGCGGCCCCUGCGGCCUGACGCCCCCCGCCCGGGCAGAGCGCGCCCCUGCUGCUCCGGGGAGCUCAGCUGCGCCUCUGGACUCCUCCGCUCCAGCCUGGCCCAGGGGGUCUCCCCGCUCAGCUUGGGGUCGGUGCGUGCCGGUGCCGCCCCCAGCGCCGCCCCCUUCGCGCUCGCAGGAGCUCGUGCACCUUGCCACUGAGGGAGCUCUGCUUUCUCCGGCCGUGACCGCCGAUCGGCAAUGAAAUAGUUAACGUGGAUGACCUCAAUGGUGUUAGUUGGGUGCUUGCAGCUGCACCUAAGACCAAGCAACAUGCUCUUUUGAGAGUUAUUUUAUUAUUUGUAUCCCAAGCCGUAAACUGCUGUUUUUUCAAAACUGUGUAAUAUUUUUGCAUAUUUACAGUAUAUGUCCAAACCGAUAGGCUGCGUUGCUCCAGCCAAGUUACUGUUGUGGUAGCUGCAUUCUGGGGCUUCUCAGUUAUUAGUAGCUGGCUGGCAGGACUUCACAGGACCCAAAGAGAAUUGUUUCCAAGGUGAUAUACUGUGCCUCUGUGACGUACAUGAUGUGACUGAAACACUGUCAUUGGCAGAUAACUCUGAAACUAUAGAAAAUGAUUGUGAUCUUGAAGGUGGAUAGUCUUCAGAAUCCUGUAUGUUGAGGAUGGAUUCUCCGAAACAAAAUAAGUCAAUGCAGUUAUUUAAUUAUUAUUACCAUACUGCUCAUCUAGUAUUAAUCAUUGCAUUCACUGACACUCGGUACUAUUUUAAGGGUGAAAUUGUACAAGGAAGAUCUGCCUAUUUCAGCUAUUUAUUUUUUUUAUCACAACUGCAUCUAAAAUGAUAGUGCCAUAGAGUAACAACUACAUUUUUUGCUCAAACAUGAAGAUCCUGCAUAUUUAGACAUGUUCCUUUCAUCAUCUUCAAUGCAGCUUCCUCCUGAGAAGGAACUCUUCUCGUGAUGCUAUUUCAUUAAGGCUACCAGGCCUUGCAUUUCUUUGUUGCACUGUUUGCAUUUUGCACGCAUGCCACAGGUAGAGGAACUUCAUUAAAGUAUUCCCAAACUGGGUCUCUUUUAUA